Molecule: RNA transcript, 2911 nt
Organism: Pleuronectes platessa (European plaice)
Lineage: Eukaryota; Metazoa; Chordata; Actinopteri; Pleuronectiformes; Pleuronectidae
Gene: ergic2
Gene name: ERGIC and golgi 2
Exons: 13
Source: RefSeq, a predicted model, not a curated record
AAUUCGGGAUGGGAGCAGUUUUUCCAGACAACGAGGUCAAACGUCACAGUGACUUCCACGUCACAUGACCGGAUACUCCAGCUCGUCUCGAACAACCAGAGUCUCAGAGGAUCGUUGAGCUCCAGCUGCGACAUGAGGAGACUCACGAAGAAGAAAACUCUCACUCUGGUCAAGGAGCUGGACGCUUUCCCCAAAGUCCCGGAGAGCUACGUGGAGUCCACAGCCAGCGGCGGGACAGUGUCUCUGAUCGCCUUCACCCUCAUGGCUGUUCUCGCCAUCCUUGAGUUCUUUGUGUACACGAGGACGUGGAUGAGAUACGAGUACGAGGUGGACAAAGACUUCAGCAGUAAACUCCGGAUCAAUGUAGACAUCACAGUUGCUAUGAGAUGUCAAUAUAUUGGUGCAGAUGUCCUGGAUCUGGCAGAAACCAUGGUCGCAUCUGAUGGUUUAAAAUAUGAACCAGUCAACUAUGAACUGUCUCCACAGCAGAAAAUGUGGCACAUGACUCUGCUGCACAUCCAGGAGCGUCUGAGAGUAGAGCACGCUCUUCAGGACAUCAUCUUCAAGGCAGCGUUAAAAGGAGAUCCUCCUGCUCCUGACCAAAGGGACGACAGCAUCACUUCCCUCACCGCCUGCAGGAUACAUGGACAUAUGUAUGUUAACAAGGUGGCAGGAAACUUCCACAUCACUGUUGGCAAGUCCAUCCCUCACCCCAGAGGUCACGCUCAUCUAGCUGCUCUCGUCAGCCAUGACUCUUAUAACUUCUCUCACCGGAUCGACCACCUCUCCUUUGGAGAAGCGAUUCCUGGGAUAAUCAGCCCGUUGGACGGCACAGAGAAAAUCUCAGCUGAGCCAAACCACAUGUUUCAGUACUUCAUCACCAUCGUGCCCACCAAGCUGAACACCUACCAGAUUUCUGCUGAGACGCAUCAGUACUCAGUCACAGAGCGGGAGCGAGCGAUAAACCAUGCUGCAGGCAGCCAUGGGGUCUCAGGGAUCUUUAUGAAAUAUGAUAUCAGUUCUCUGAUGGUCAGAGUCACUGAACAGCACAUGCCUUUCUGGCAGUUUCUUGUCAGACUCUGCGGCAUCGUCGGAGGAAUUUUCUCCACCACAGGUAGAUAAACUGUUUUACCUAGUAUAAUGAUUCAUCAAGUACCAGAUGCAUAUGUACAAAACUAAACUGGAGCUUUAUGAUGAUUGGGCUGGUACCUUUAGGCAACAGCCACACGUAUAUGUUUUAGAUUUAAAACACGUCCCUGUUGCUACAUUUAUAUAUGUUGUUGUUAUUGUUGGUUUGAAAUGUUGUGUUGUAGUAUGGACGGGCAGAAACAAAUCAAAACAAUUGACUGCAGGGGGUAUAAUCUGCUUCCUGUUUACACUGGUACCCACAUGACCAGUGUAUGUGAAUGGUCAUGUGAUGUGCGUUUACAGAUGCAUUUAGUAUGGAAGGGAACUAUUAUUAUUAUUAUAAUGGAGUUAAAACCCUUUUUGUUUUACAAUGCUGCUUAAACACUUAUACUCGCAUAUUCUGAGCAGCCAUUGGCUUGAAAUGGAUUAAUUCAUCUACAAUAUAAAAAAUCCAUUAACAGAAACUUACAGAAAGAGAAAGAUCAAGCAAAGUGAAAAUAUAGGAACACACUCACAAACAGUCCCACAUGGAGCUAACAAAUUCAUUUUUAUACUGGUGUGAACUGAAAACAGAGGCAGCACAUGUAACCACUGUUCCUCAUGCGGUGAUGGAGUCACUGUAGAAGAAGAGUUCAGUUAAUGAGAGCAGACAUUCAGUCUUACAUAAACAGAGUAAAGCAUCUGGGAAAAAGCCAUAAAUCCUGCUGCAUGUAUUAUUUAUGGAUUUCUGUCAGAUGCAGACUCAACAUCGUCUUCUAUAUAAAAAAGCACAGAGAGAUCAAACCUGCUUUCACCUCAUCUGAGCUCAUGAAUGUCAGUGUCUGUGAACCGGGUCUUUGUCUCUCGCAGGGAUGCUCCAUAGCAUGAUCGGCUGCCUGGUCGACGUCAUCUGCUGUCGUUUUCAGAUGGGAAUCUACAAACCUCUGACGGAGGCUCCUCUGAAUGAACAAGAAACCAGUGAAAGCUCAGUUCCUCCUCCUCCUCCUCCGGAAGAUCUCUCACAACAAUGAGACGACAACAACUCAGCUGCCGUCGGCUGACGACUCCCCAGCUGCACCUAAACCACUAAAACAGCACAGCCUGACUCAUGUGGGUUUUUGGGCCGAGGCUGAGAUUAGGGAGCAAAAUACAAACAUGAAGAACAGGAAUUGAGAAGAUAUAUAUAAUUUUUAACAUAAAAUGUGAACAAACACAUUCUCUGCAAUGUUUAUCCUGUAAAUUUAGUUUAAAUAUCGGCAAACGCAGAUGGCGAUACGUCUGUAAAAGGCUCAUAUUGACCUGCUGAUAAAUUGAUCGGGUUCUACCAAUCAGCGGUGAGAUGCUGGGAAAAUGUUUACAAGUUGUUUUAUUUUGAAAUAUGUGUUUCUUCUGAGAAAUGUGUAAAUAAUUGUAUCUUGUUUAUUUCUAUUGGAUGGAUGUGAGAUUGUUAUUGGUACCUCCUCUAAUGUAAUUUCCACUGGAAGCGUCACCAGGACCAAACUACACACAUGAUUUACAUCAUUAUUACAGUGUGUUCAGACCCACACAGGAGUUUCUGCUGAUUCUCACCUUUUCUCUGCGUUAUAUUUCCAGCUACACACUUGAUUGACAGAUGUGGUUUUAGCUUUUUUCAGAUUUUUUCCCCCCAUGUUCUUUGGUGACAUCAGAAAAAGCAGUGAAGAAAGUGUUCAGCCCCGUUUAGAACUGUGUGAAAGUCUGGUAUUGUGCCUGUGUGUAAAUGAUUGUUGCAAACAUGAGGCUGACUUGUUAAAUAAAAUCCACUCUGAUGUGGUUUCAUUGUAAA